UAGUACUGCAAUGUAUACAUUGCAGUUUCUCAGUAACUGCAAUAUUUUACAUUGCAGGACUA
This 62-nucleotide microRNA precursor is filed under the name Pelobates cultripes (western spadefoot toad). Lineage: Eukaryota; Metazoa; Chordata; Amphibia; Anura; Pelobatidae. The record is from RNAcentral.